CAAUAGCGUAUGCUAACGUUGUUGCAGUUAAAAGCUCGUAGUUGGAUUUUUAAGGAUGUCUGCUUCUAGUGACCUUUCGUGUCUCUAAAGUUGCAGACUCCCUUAUUUUGCCUCAGUGCUCGGUUGGGAUUCAUUUUCUGACCAAGCUUCCGGGGCGUGUUUACUUUGAGAAAAUUAGAGUGUUCAAAACAGUCUUGUGAUUGUAUAUCAUAGCAUGGAAUAAUAACUGAUGACGUCGGUCAUUUUUUGUUGGUUCGGGUGGCUGAAGUAAUGAUUGAUAGAGUUAGUCGGAGGUAUUAGUAUUUUAUCGUUAGAGGUGAAAUUCAUAGAUCGGUAAAAGACUAACAACUGCGAAAGCAUUUAUCUAGGAUUUGCUCUUUGAUCAAGAACGAAAGUUGGGGGAUCGAAGACGAUUAGAUACC
RNAcentral lists this ribosomal RNA (422 nucleotides) under uncultured eukaryote. Its description in RNAcentral is "bacterial SSU rRNA". It matches the Rfam family "Eukaryotic small subunit ribosomal RNA", at positions 592 to 1016 of the family's 1831-position model. The record is from RNAcentral.